This 465-nucleotide ribosomal RNA is filed under the name Vreelandella stevensii. Its description in RNAcentral is "partial 16S ribosomal RNA". It matches the Rfam family "Bacterial small subunit ribosomal RNA", at positions 338 to 795 of the family's 1533-position model. Lineage: Bacteria; Pseudomonadati; Pseudomonadota; Gammaproteobacteria; Oceanospirillales; Halomonadaceae. The record is from RNAcentral.
CCUACGGGGGGCUGCAGUGGGGAAUAUUGGACAAUGGGCGAAAGCCUGAUCCAGCCAUGCCGCGUGUGUGAAGAAGGCCUUCGGGUUGUAAAGCACUUUCAGUGGGGAAGAAAGCCUUGGGGCUAAUACCCUCGAGGAAGGACAUCACCCACAGAAGAAGCACCGGCUAACUCCGUGCCAGCAGCCGCGGUAAUACGGAGGGUGCGAGCGUUAAUCGGAAUUACUGGGCGUAAAGCGCGCGUAGGCGGUCUGAUAAGCCGGUUGUGAAAGCCCCGGGCUCAACCUGGGAACGGCAUCCGGAACUGUCAGGCUAGAGUGCAGGAGAGGAAGGUAGAAUUCCCGGUGUAGCGGUGAAAUGCGUAGAGAUCAGGAGGAAUACCAGUGGCGAAGGCGGCCUUCUGGACUGACACUGACGCUGAGGUGCGAAAGCGUGGGUAGCAAACAGGAUUAGAUACCCUUGUAGUC